UACAGAGGUCUCAAGCGUUGUUCGGAUUCAUUGGGCGUAAAGGGUGCGUAGGCGGCGCGGUAAGUCGGGUGUGAAAUCUUGGAGCUUAACUCCGAAACUGCAUUCGAUACUGCCGUGCUUGAGGACUGGAGAGGAGACUGGAAUUUACGGUGUAGCAGUGAAAUGCGUAGAGAUGCGGAGGAACACCGAUGGCGAAGGCAGCCCCCUGGGCUGACACUGACGCUCAGGCACGAAAGCGUGGGGAGCAAACAGG
Molecule: ribosomal RNA, 253 nt
Filed under: uncultured bacterium
Lineage: Bacteria
Description: partial 16S ribosomal RNA
Rfam family: Bacterial small subunit ribosomal RNA
Source: RNAcentral